CUCGGGAUCCUCCUGCCUCUGCUUCUCAAGCUUCUGGGAUUAUAGAUGUGCGCCACCAUGUCUAGCAACCCCAUUUUUUUUUUUUAAAGAAAUAUUGAUUGAACACCUGCUAGGUGUGUGGAAUGCAGUUCUGAGGAAGACAAGCUAUAUCUCUGCCUUCAUGGACACAGAAGGGAAAAUUCACAGUGUAUUAAGUAGCAAGAUGAAGUACUACUCUGGUAACAGAAAAUAGAAGCAUUUUAUCCUAACUUGGUUGAUAAUUGAAGAGUUGAGGUUUUUAGCAGAGAUGUGAAGGAUGCUUAGGAGUUAGGCCAGGAAGGGGCAAGGGCUAGGCAAGCAGCAGAAGCAGCUUGUAGAGACUUUAAAUGGGGAGAAUGUAUCCUUGAGGACUUGAAAAGCAUUUGGUUUGGCUAAAUUGUUGGAUUUGAGGACAAAAUGGGAAAGGGAAAGAUUGACAAAGGUACCAGUUGUGUUGUGUGUGUCUGUAAUCCCAGCUUGGGAUGCUGAGGCAGGAAGAUUUCAAGAAUGAGGCCAGACUGGGCAACUUAGACCCUGUCUCAAAAAAUACAAAGGUCUAGAGGGAUAUAGCUUAGUAGUAGCGCACCUCUGGGUUUAAUCUCCAGUACUGGGGGGAAAAAGAUUGAUAAAGGUCAGGUGCUUUGAAGCCUGUUCCAGGUUUCAGUUGGACUGCCAGUGAAGAUCAUGACUUAAGAUAUAAAUAUAUUUCCUCAUAUGAAAGAAGUCCAGGGGCUGGGUUGUGGCUCAGUGGGAGGCACUGGGUUUGAUUCUCAGCACCACAUUAAAUAAAUAAUAAAGGUUAAGAAAAAAAAAGUCCAAGGAUGCAGGGCUAUAGCUGUACGGAAGCUCUAUCACUGAGAACUGGGCUCCUUUUUGGUUUUUUGCUCAAUUGUUCAGGACACAUGAUUUUCAUGCUUAUGGAUACUUCAUGUAUAGGAUGGCUGCCAAAGCCCCAGCCAUCAUGACUUUGAAACUGACUGCAGAAGAAAUGGAUUUAGGCAAAGAGGGCAUAGCCUGAUGUCUUUUCUCAAUUUAUGAAGCAUUUUUCGAAAUUCUGAGCAAUCGCAUCUAUUUUUGUCUCAUUGGCCAGAACUUGGUAACACAGGAAAUGUUUCAUUUGUGGAUAUUUUAUAGACAGGGACACAGCAUUAACUAAAAGAAAGGAAAUUCUGGGUUUUGGAAAUAAAAUAACCCUUUCAAGUUCCUGAAUUACCAAUGCAUCUGAUUUUUGUACUUCCUGUCAUCUCUGAGAAAUAUCCUGGCUGGUGGAGAGCUGGAAUAGUCCUUUGACAGGGUACUCUGCUGUCUUGACAGAAUCAGGGUUUUGUUACUAGGGAACAAGAGGACAGUAGUCGUUGGGUAGGUAAUGAGCAGUUUACAUGUUAAGAGCUGAACUUUAUUGGAAGUAAUGAAGGAUUAUAAGUGGCUGGAUUUGCAUAUUUAAAAGCUAAUUCUGACAGCAGUGUAGAGAGUAUUGGAGGACAGGCUCAAGACAGAUAACCUGUGUGUGUGAGAGAGAGUGGUGGCCCAGAAGACACCAGUGAUGAUUAGCUUACUUGGGUUGAAUUGGGGUGUAAACAAGUGAUAUUAUUCAUUGAACAGAUGUUAACUUUUGGGAUUUAGCAUGUGCAAGACACUGAGCAUGACCUUAUAGAUGGGGUUGGGAUGGUUGGGUGGACAGAGUCUCUGCUGUCAUGAAUUUAUUGUCUAGAGGGGGCCCAAAUGUAAAGGUGUAACUAUGACAAGUUCUAGGAAGGAGUUAGCCUAUUCAGAGAGGUCCCCAGGGUAUUUCCCUUGAGGAAAUGGCACUUGAGCUAAGAUUUGCUUGAAGAGUAGGAAUAAAUGAGGGAAGAAUGGCUGGAAGGUCUCUUGUGGAAUAAAGAUUCAAGGAGUUCAGAAGGAAUCCCUGGAAACCAGAAGAUGAUCACAGCCAUUCAGCCAAGAGAUAAGGCGCUAGGGUGGAGAAAAGUGGAAUGAAAGAAGAUUCAGGGGGCAAAUUCCAAAAAUUUAAAGGGUGAAUGUGAAAGAAGGAGGAGUCAAAAGUGCCACCAUUAUUUCUAGCCUCCUACAUCAGAAUGGGUUGGAGUGCUCUUUACCAAGAUGGGAGUUUAGGAGAGAACCGUGUUUGGGAAGGUUAUAAGUUUGUUUUAGACAUGUUGAGUGGGAACCUGGAUCCAUGCAUGUGGAAUUUGGGUGAGAGGAUUGAGCUGGAAGAAUAAAUAGAUAAGCUACCAGUGUACAGGUGGUAAGUGAAGCCAGGGAGUGUCGAAUGAAAGGGGGACCUGGCCUUAAGGAACAUCAGUUCAUGUCUCACGUUCUAAAAAGUCAUUCCACUUCUCUUCAUAUAUCAAACACCAGCCAUGGAUCAGUGACCUUCAGCCUAAAAUCCUAAAGUUCUUUGUGUUUUCCGGUCUGAGUGACAGGGCCUCCAUCUUCCUAUUGUCUCAUCCUGCUUCUUCCCCUUCAGGAGGCCAUUAUAAAUUACCAUUCCUAAGUGCUUUUCCUAAAGAGAAACUCAUGCGAGCUCCAGGGAUGUAGUCAUGUCCAUUAGUCUUUCCCUGUCUCUAGGAAGCUUGUGGAAUGAGUACCUUUUUGUCCAAAAGUCUCUGGGUCCAUGUUGAGAUCAUUCACUAAACUGGGCCAAGGCCCAGUCUCAUAAUAACCUUGGGGAUUUUUCUGGGUUGCUUAUGACUUUUCUGGACUCAGAAGAGUCUUUGUCCUCUGGUGCCUUCUCACGUCCUGACCCUUUCUUUAGCAAGGCUCUACCUCCAAUCUGACUGGCCAAGCCUUCUCUUGGGCUCUGGAUAUGCAGUACUUCCCAGAUCUGGAAUCAACCCCCUCCCCUCCAGGGUGAAUGAUGGGAAUCUGUACUGGUUUGGUGGCUGUCAACAUUCCAAUAAAUUUUUAGUACCCCAAGCGCACAAUGCUAAGAUUGUGGGGUUUGGGACAGGGAUCCUGACUGGAGAGAGAGCUGCAGGCCUCUUGAGGAGCGGAAUUGUUUGUGAGUCUAUGGGAAGCCUUCAUUUACUACUAUGAGCCCAGGCUCUGUCUGGAAAAGUCUAGGGUCAACUGAGACCACAGGACCACUUCCUGGUUGAGACAAUGACCUCUCCUCCUGCCAAACCACAGCCAGUUGGCUGGCCUUCAGAGGCAUCAUCUCCAGCUGACUGUUUUAUUGAGGCCACAAAGUGCCCUUGGAGAUGGGAUGAUUUGGAGCCAAUUCCAAUUCAAGGAGCCUAGCUUUCAGUCUCCAAGCCACAGUGUGGCUUCUUUCUGUUGCUUAGACUUAUGACUGGGUGGACAUCCUGACAGACUCUGGAGAGGAGGGAAGAAGACAAGUCAUCGUCACAGAACUCUAUAUUUUGGAGGAAAUUCGAGGGACUACAGCUUAGAAGAUUUCCUUGAAAGCUCACUGCAGCAAUCCUCAGGAGAACUUGACUCUCAAAACAGCAUGGCAAUGUGGGGACAAGACAGGACUGUGGGGAUGUUGUCUUGCUCCUUUGCUCAUUCAGUGUUGAGUACAUUGCUGGGUGCUAGUCACUUGCACAGGCAACCAAAAUACUAAGGUGACCAAGAGCUCUUCUAGGAACAGAUACGGCCACAGACUAUGGAAAUAUAAGGUGAUGAGUGCUAGAGCAGAAAUACCCCAGGAACUGUAGCCCACUAGUGGGCGGAGUCUUCAUUGGAGGUGGCUGGGUUAUGAAUGAUGGGGACAGUUCAUUUCAAAGAGAAACAGUAGAGCACAGAAAUACAAAAUAUCAAUGUUGGCAGCUACCUUUAAAAAAAAAAAAGUUAUUUUGCAGGCUGGGGUUGUGGCUCAGUGGUAGAGCACUUGCCCAACAUGUGUGAGGCACUGGGUUCGAUUUUCAGCACCCAUAUAAAUAAAUGAAUAAAAUAAAGGUCCAUAAACAUCUAAAAAAUUUUUUUAAAAAAGUUAUUUUGAAGUUGGUAAUGUAGACUCUGGUUCCACCACUUACUGCAAUCAAAAUGGAGAUAAUACCUACCUGAUAAGAAAAUGGUAUUAUUAGUCACAUAUUACAUUCCAGAUCCUACAUGUACAUAAUUUCUAAUCCUAACAGUGACUCUGAAAGUAUGUUUCUCCAUUUUGCAGAUGAGGAAGUAACACUGGGGUUGCUUUUGCUUAUAUGGAUUAAAGGCUGGUAGGGAUUUGGCCUUCCUACUAUUCCAGGAACAGUAAAUGCAGGCAGAAAUGAGGACAUGAGAUAAGGACAUCUUUUUGACAUGUCCUUCCUCAUUGGUUGGGAUAUAUUUUGGCAGACUUGCCAGAUACCAAAUUUGGAUCUUGAUAGAAAAUAUGGCUGUUUACCUAAAGACCAUUUAAAAAC
This 4364-nucleotide long non-coding RNA is filed under the name Marmota monax (woodchuck). The record is from RNAcentral. Lineage: Eukaryota; Metazoa; Chordata; Mammalia; Rodentia; Sciuridae.